This 253-nucleotide ribosomal RNA is filed under the name uncultured bacterium. RNAcentral's name for it is "partial 16S ribosomal RNA". It matches the Rfam family "Bacterial small subunit ribosomal RNA", at positions 524 to 776 of the family's 1533-position model. The record is from RNAcentral.
UACAGGGGGGGCAAGCGUUGUUCGGAAUUACUGGGCGUAAAGGGCCAGUAGGCGGCCAACUAAGUCCGACGUGAAAUCCCCAGGCUUAACCUGGGAACUGCGUCGGAUACUGGAUGGCUUGAAUUCGGGAGAGGGAUGCAGAAUUCCAGGUGUAGCGGUGAAAUGCGUAGAUAUCUGGAGGAACACCGGUGGCGAAGGCGGGUCUCUGGGCCGUUACUGACGCUGAGGAGCGAAAGCGUGGGGAGCGAACAGG